UAUGUUUUAGUGUAGAAGCACACGAAGUUUUGAUCUUCGCGGAAAUGGUGUGAUUCCAUUAAAUGUAA
This 68-nucleotide transfer RNA is filed under the name Palaemon annandalei. RNAcentral's name for it is "tRNA-Gln". The record is from RNAcentral. Lineage: Eukaryota; Metazoa; Arthropoda; Malacostraca; Decapoda; Palaemonidae.